GGAGGGUGCAAGCGUUAAUCGGAAUUACUGGGCGUAAAGCGCAUGUAGGCUGUAUGGCAAGUUGGAGGUGAAAUCCCACGGCUCAACCGUGGAACUGCCUUCAAAACUACCAAACUGGAGUGCGAGAGAGGAUAGCGGAAUUCCAGGUGUAGGAGUGAAAUCCGUAGAUAUCUGGAAGAACAUCAGUGGCGAAGGCGGCUAUCUGGCUCGUNACUGACGCUGAGGCGCGANAGCGUGGGUAGCANACAGGAUUAGAUACCCUGGUAGUCCACGCCGUNNACGAUGGAUACUAGUUGUCGGGUUGUAUGNCUCGGUGACGCNGCUNNCGCNAUNNGUAUCCCGCCNGGGGUGU
RNAcentral lists this ribosomal RNA (352 nucleotides) under uncultured bacterium. Its description in RNAcentral is "partial 16S ribosomal RNA". It matches the Rfam family "Bacterial small subunit ribosomal RNA", at positions 527 to 881 of the family's 1533-position model. The record is from RNAcentral.